CGAGUGGCGAACGGGUGAGUAACACGUGGGUGAUCUGCCCUGCACUUCGGGAUAAGCUUGGGAAACUGUGUCUAAUACCGGAUAGGAGCCAUCUUUAGUGUGGUGGUUGGAAAGUUUUUUCGGUGUAGGAUGAGCUCGCGGCCUAUCAGCUUGUUGGUGGGGUAAUGGCCUACCAAGGCGGCGACGGGUAGCCGGCCUGAGAGGGUGUACGGCCACAUUGGGACUGAGAUACGGCCCAG
Molecule: ribosomal RNA, 239 nt
Filed under: uncultured Actinomycetales bacterium
Lineage: Bacteria; Bacillati; Actinomycetota; Actinomycetes; Actinomycetales
Description: partial 16S ribosomal RNA
Rfam family: Bacterial small subunit ribosomal RNA
Source: RNAcentral